RNAcentral lists this unclassified non-coding RNA (329 nucleotides) under soil metagenome. Its description in RNAcentral is "partial contains 5.8S ribosomal RNA, internal transcribed spacer 2, and large subunit ribosomal RNA". The stretch from base 1 to 120 matches the Rfam family "5.8S ribosomal RNA", at positions 35 to 154 of the family's 154-position model. The record is from RNAcentral.
GAUGAAGAACGUAGCGAAAUGCGAUAAGUAGUGUGAAUUGCAGAAUUCAGUGAAUCAUCGAAUCUUUGAACGCACAUUGCGCCCCUUGGUAUCCCGAGGGGCAUGCCUGUUCGAGCGUCAUUUCACCACUCAAGCCUGGCUUGGUGUUGGGCGACGUCCUCUUUGGGGACGCGCCUCGAAACGCUCGGCGGCGUGGCACCGGCUUUAAGCGUAGCAGAAUCUUUCGCUUUGGAAGUCGGGGCCCCGUCUGCCGGAAGACCUGCUCGCAAGGUUGACCUCGGACCAGGCAGGGAUACCCGCUGAACUUAAGCAUAUCAAUAAGCGGAGGA